UACAGAGGUCCCAAGCGUUGUUCGGAUUCACUGGGCGUAAAGGGUGCGUAGGUGGUGGGGUAAGUUUGAUGUGAAAGCUCCGAGCUUAACUCGGAAAUGGCAUUGAAUACUAUCUCGCUUGAGGUUUGGAGGGGGGACUGGAAUUCUCGGUGUAGCAGUGAAAUGCGUAGAUAUCGAGAGGAACACCAGUGGCGAAGGCGAGUCCCUGGACAACACCUGACACUGAGGCACGAAAGCUAGGGGAGCAAACAGG
Molecule: ribosomal RNA, 253 nt
Filed under: uncultured bacterium
Lineage: Bacteria
Description: partial 16S ribosomal RNA
Rfam family: Bacterial small subunit ribosomal RNA
Source: RNAcentral